GUUAAUGUAAUUCAAAAAGAAUAUCAGAAUGUGAUCCUGAAAAUAAGAAUUCUUCUUCAUUAACC
RNAcentral lists this transfer RNA (65 nucleotides) under Eptatretus burgeri (inshore hagfish). Its description in RNAcentral is "transfer RNA-His". The record is from RNAcentral. Lineage: Eukaryota; Metazoa; Chordata; Myxini; Myxiniformes; Myxinidae.